Molecule: ribosomal RNA, 497 nt
Filed under: uncultured bacterium
Lineage: Bacteria
Description: partial 16S ribosomal RNA
Rfam family: Bacterial small subunit ribosomal RNA
Source: RNAcentral
GAUGAACGCUGGCGGCGUGCCUAAUACAUGCAAGUCGAGCGAACAGACGAGGAGCUUGCUCCUCUGACGUUAGCGGCGGACGGGUGAGUAACACGUGGAUAACCUACCUAUAAGACUGGGAUAACUUCGGGAAACCGAAGCUAAUACCGGAUAAUAUAUUGAACCGCAUGGUUCAAUAGUGAAAGACGGUUUUGCUGUCACUUAUAGAUGGAUCCGCGCCGCAUUAGCUAGUUGGUAAGGUAACAGCUUACCAAGGCAACGAUGCGUAGCCGACCUGAGAGGGUGAUCGGCCACACUGGAACUGAGACACGGUCCAGACUCCUACGGGAGGCAGCAGUAGGGAAUCUUCCGCAAUGGGCGAAAGCCUGACGGAGCAACGCCGCGUGAGUGAUGAAGGUCUUCGGAUCGUAAAACUCUGUUAUUAGGGAAGAACAAAUGUGUAAGUAACUAUGCACGUCUUGACGGUACCUAAUCAGAAAGCCACGGCUAACUACGUG